Molecule: ribosomal RNA, 492 nt
Filed under: uncultured bacterium
Lineage: Bacteria
Description: partial 16S ribosomal RNA
Rfam family: Bacterial small subunit ribosomal RNA
Source: RNAcentral
AGUGAACGCUGGCGGCAGGCCUAACACAUGCAAGUCGAACGGCAGCACAGUAAGAGCUUGCUCUUACGGGUGGCGAGUGGCGGACGGGUGAGGAAUACAUCGGAAUCUACUUUUUCGUGGGGGAUAACGUAGGGAAACUUACGCUAAUACCGCAUACGACCUACGGGUGAAAGCAGGGGAUCUUCGGACCUUGCGCGAUUGAAUGAGCCGAUGUCGGAUUAGCUAGUUGGCGAGGUAAAGGCCCACCAAGGCGACGAUCCGUAGCUGGUCUGAGAGGAUGAUCAGCCACACUGGAACUGAGACACGGUCCAGACUCCUACGGGAGGCAGCAGUGGGGAAUAUUGGACAAUGGGCGCAAGCCUGAUCCAGCAAUACCGCGUGAGUGAAGAAGGUCUUCGGGUUGUAAAGCUCUUUUGUUGGGAAAGAAAAGCAGCAGGUUAAUACCCCGCUGUUCUGACGGUACCCAAAGAGUAAGCACCGGCUAACUUCGUG